CUGACGGUGCAGUAUCCUAGUCAGAGUGACCAUUUUCCAGGAAGGGCCUAAAAAUCCUUUGAAGGGCACAUCGAUGAAGUCCCUGGUGUCUGCUUUUUACGCCCAGUUUAGGGUGGAUGCUGGGGGUUAAGGAUCUCGGGCGCGCGACAACGGCAUGUCGCAUACGACCCGACUUCCGUGGAGACUUGAAGCUUGUGCGACGAGGGUAAAGAACCCCAGUUGGGGCCCUAUCGCGUACGACUCAGGUAUGAACCUGCAAUGCGGUGCACAGAAUCGUGUGCUGGGUGCAGCGUAGCCUGCCUUGCGUGGAUAUGCGGGGAAAGAUGACAGGCAUGGGCAGUUUACGGCCGUAACCGCCUGCGUCAAUGCUUCUGGAAACCAUAUCUGCAAAAGAGGCUAAGAUUAUGGACCAUUCUGCCGUGGAAAACACCUAGGCUGUCCGAAAGGGGCAGGCAGGGGAUUACAGUACGGUCUAAGUGGCAAUCGGGUAUCCAUUACCUGGCAACAGUUGGACGGACGGAUUAAAUGGAAACGGCCUGUGCGGCAACGGCAGGUUCUGUCCCGGUGAAAAACAACCCGACCUAAGCCGUAAGAUUUAUCCUGCCUGCUACCGUUUUAAAAAAAU
This 625-nucleotide small RNA is filed under the name uncultured Faecousia sp. Lineage: Bacteria; Bacillati; Bacillota; Clostridia; Eubacteriales; Oscillospiraceae. The record is from RNAcentral.